GAUGAAGAACGUAGCGAAAUGUGAUAAGUAGUGUGAAUUGCAGAAUUCAGUGAAUCAUCGAAUCUUUGAACGCACAUUGCGCCCUUUGGUAUUCCUUAGGGCAUGCCUGUUCGAGCGUCAUUUAAACCUUCAAGCUAAGCUUGGUGUUGGGUGACUGUCCGCUUCACUGCGGACUCGCCUCAAAAUUAUUGGCGGCCGGUACAUUGGCUUCGAGCGCAGCAGAAACGCGAACUCGGGCCCGUCGUAUUGGCUCCCAGAAGCUAUCUUCACAAUUUUGACCUCGGAUCAGGUAGGGAUACCCGCUGAACUUAAGCAUAUCAAUAAGCGGAGGA
This 332-nucleotide unclassified non-coding RNA is filed under the name soil metagenome. Its description in RNAcentral is "partial contains 5.8S ribosomal RNA, internal transcribed spacer 2, and large subunit ribosomal RNA". The stretch from base 1 to 120 matches the Rfam family "5.8S ribosomal RNA", at positions 35 to 154 of the family's 154-position model. The record is from RNAcentral.